This is a long non-coding RNA of Panicum virgatum (switchgrass), 785 nucleotides long. RefSeq lists it as uncharacterized. The transcript is spliced from 2 exons. The record is from RefSeq and is a predicted model, not a curated record. NCBI's taxonomy places the organism in Eukaryota, Viridiplantae, Streptophyta, Magnoliopsida, Poales, Poaceae.
AAGAAAUACAAUCCCAUCCUUAUAUAGAGAUGGGCUGACUUGACCCUUAAGAAACCAAUCUCCAAAUUUAAGGAAAUAACAAACCAAUCUAAUCUAAUCUUUCCUAAUAUAUGGACCCUAUUACUGUUCACGUCGUGAACAGUACUUUCUGCACAUGACAGGCUGACAUAAAUAUUAUUUACUCAGUCUUUCAUAAACUUAAUUUUCUGCUUAUGUUUCACAUUGCUAUAUUUGCUUCUCUUGUGAUAAUGUAAUCAUACAUUUUACUCUCUCUGUAUGCAGCAGAGGGGGCUCACAACUCAAACUCAUCCCAAGAUGUCCAUAAAUAUUUGCUCUGGAUCUUCUCGAUAGCUAGCAGCCCAGCAGCAACUCACAGAGAACCUGAAUCCUUCAGAACUGACAAGGAGACUGGGGCUCACAACUCAUCCCAAGAUGUUCAAAAAUAGUUGCUCGGCUGCUGGAUCUUCUCGAUAGCUAGCAGCCCAGCAGUAACUCACAGAGAACCUGAAUCCUUCAGCAGAACUGAUAAGGUGUUGAGAUAGAAAACAAAGCGUAUUGUUUUUUCUUUACUUACUCCUUAAUUGAUGCUAUCUGCAUAGCCUUCAAUACAGGUUCAUUAGUUUUCUUCUUCAAUCUUGAUAGUGUUUGCCUUUUUUUCUUUUUUGUAAGAUACGGGUAUCAGUUACUAGUGCAGCAGUGUAAGAACUGGAAUGGUAAGUUCAGUGAUAUUCCUAUGAGGUGAACAUUAGUUGGCUUGAGCUUAAUGUACAUACAGAAUGUAUUAA